CAGCAGCAGCCGCGGGAAUACAGAGGGUGCGAGCGUUAAUCGGAUUUACUGGGCGUAAAGCGUGCGUAGGCGGCUAAUUGAGUCGGAUGUGAAAUCCCCGAGCUUAACUUGGGAAUUGCAUUCGAUACUGGUUAGCUAGAGUGUGGGAGAGGAUGGUAGAAUUCCAGGUGUAGCGGUGAAAUGCGUAGAGAUCUGGAGGAAUACCGAUGGCGAAGGCAGCCAUCUGGCCUAAUACUGACGCUGAGGUACGAAAGCAUGGGGAGCAAACAGGAUUAGAUACCCCUGUAGUCCCUGUCUCUUAUAC
RNAcentral lists this ribosomal RNA (304 nucleotides) under uncultured bacterium. Its description in RNAcentral is "partial 16S ribosomal RNA". It matches the Rfam family "Bacterial small subunit ribosomal RNA", at positions 506 to 807 of the family's 1533-position model. The record is from RNAcentral.